Molecule: unclassified non-coding RNA, 384 nt
Filed under: uncultured bacterium
Lineage: Bacteria
Description: contains 16S-23S intergenic spacer region
Source: RNAcentral
UCCGGCUUGUCACCGGCAGUUUCUUCAGAGUGCCCAGCUUAACCUGAUGGCAACUGAAGAUGAGGGUUGCGCUCGUUGCGGGACUUAACCCAACAUCUCACGACACGAGCUGACGACAGCCAUGCAGCACCUGUGUGGAAGCCAGCCGAACUGAAGAACCCUCUUUCAAGGGUUCAUACUUCCCAUGUCAAGGGGUGGUAAGGUUCUUCGCGUUGCGUCGAAUUGAACCACAUGCUCCACCGCUUGUGCGGGCCCCCGUCAAUUCCUUUGAGUUUCAGCCUUGCGGCCGUACUCCCCAGGCGGGGUACUUAAUGCGUUAGCUACGGCACGGAUCCCAAGGAAGGAAACCCACACCUAGUGCCCACCGUUUACGGCGUGGACUAC